UGACGUAGGGUGCAAGCGUUGUCCGGAAUUAUUGGCGUAAAGAGCUCGUAGGCGGUUUGUCGCGUCUGCUGUGAAAACGCGAGGCUCAACCUCGCGCCUGCAGUGGGUACGGGCAGACUAGAGUGCGGUAGGGGAGAUUGGAAUUCCUGGUGUAGCGGUGGAAUGCGCAGAUAUCAGGAGGAACACCAAUGGCGAAGGCAGGUCUCUGGGCCACAACUGACGCUGAGGAGCGAA
Molecule: ribosomal RNA, 234 nt
Filed under: uncultured bacterium
Lineage: Bacteria
Description: partial 16S ribosomal RNA
Rfam family: Bacterial small subunit ribosomal RNA
Source: RNAcentral